CCUACGGGGGGCUGCAGUGGGGAAUUUUGGACAAUGGGGGCAACCCUGAUCCAGCCAUGCCGCGUGCGGGAAGAAGGCCUUCGGGUUGUAAACCGCUUUUGUCAGGGAAGAAAUCUUCCGAGCUAAUACCUUGGGAGGAUGACGGUACCUGAAGAAUAAGCACCGGCUAACUACGUGCCAGCAGCCGCGGUCAUACGUAGGGUGCAAGCGUUAAGCGGAAUUACUGGGCGUAAAGCGGCCGCACAGGGUUGAAAUCCCCGGGCGUAACCUGGGAACUGCACUGGUGACUGUACGGCUGGAGUACGGCAGAGGGGGAUGGAAUGCCGCGUGUAGCAGUGAAAUGCGUAGAUAUGCGGAGGAACACCGAUGGCGAAGGCAGUCCCCUGGGCCUGUACUGACGCUCAUGCACGAAAGCGUGGGGAGCAAACAGGAUUAGAUACCCCGGUAGUC
RNAcentral lists this ribosomal RNA (450 nucleotides) under uncultured bacterium. RNAcentral's name for it is "partial 16S ribosomal RNA". It matches the Rfam family "Bacterial small subunit ribosomal RNA", at positions 338 to 795 of the family's 1533-position model. The record is from RNAcentral.